RNAcentral lists this ribosomal RNA (372 nucleotides) under uncultured bacterium. RNAcentral describes it as "bacterial SSU rRNA". It matches the Rfam family "Bacterial small subunit ribosomal RNA", at positions 525 to 896 of the family's 1533-position model. The record is from RNAcentral.
ACAGAGGGUGCAAGCGUUAAUCGGAAUUACUGGGCGUAAAGCGCGCGUAGGCGGCUUGACAAGUCGAGUGUGAAAUCCCCGGGCUUAACCUGGGACCUGCAUUCGAAACUGUCUUGCUAGAGUAUGGGAGAGGGAAGUGGAAUUUCAGGUGUAGCGGUGAAAUGCGUAGAUAUCUGAAGGAACAUCAGUGGCGAAAGCGACUUCCUGGACCAAUACUGACGCUCAGGUGCGAAAGCGUGGGGAGCAAACAGGAUUAGAUACCCUGGUAGUCCACGCCAUAAACGAUGACAACUAGAUGUUGGGAGGGUUAGCCUCUCGGUGUCGUAGCUAACGCGUUAAGUUGUCCGCCUGGGGAGUACGGCCGCAAGGUUG